UACGGAGGAUCCGAGCGUUAUCCGGAUUUAUUGGGUUUAAAGGGUGCGCAGGCGGGAGAUUAAGUCGGCGGUGAAAUUUUGCAGCUCAACUGUAAAAGUGCCUUCGAAACUGGUUUCCUUGAGUGUGGAUGAAGUAGGCGGAAUUUGUGGUGUAGCGGUGAAAUGCAUAGAUAUCACGAGGAACUCCGAUUGCGCAUGCAGCUUACUAAACCAUAACUGACGCUCAGGCACGAAGGCGUGGGGAUCAAACAGGAUUAGAUACCCU
Molecule: ribosomal RNA, 265 nt
Filed under: uncultured prokaryote
Description: partial 16S ribosomal RNA
Rfam family: Bacterial small subunit ribosomal RNA
Source: RNAcentral